AAUGAACGUUGGCGGCGUGGAUUAGGCAUGCAAGUCGAGCGAGAGACUUCAAAUUGAUGCUUCGGUUGAUUUUUGAAGUGGAAAGCGGCGAAAGGGAGAGUAACGAGUAGAUACGUACCCGAGGGUGCGGAAUAGCGGGGGGAAACCGCCGGUAAUGCCGCAUAAUGUCUCCGGACCAAAGAUUUAUCGCCCUUGGAGCGGUCUGCUUCCUAUUAGCUUGUUGGUGGGGUAAUGGCCUACCAAGGCUUUGAUGGGUAGCGGGCGUGAGAGCGUGGCCCGUCUCACUGGGACUGAGACACUGCCCAGACACCUACGGGUGGCUGCAGUCGAGAAUCUUCGUCAAUGGGCGAAAGCCUGAACGAGCGACGCCGCGUGCGGGAUGAAGGCCUUCGGGUUGUAAACCGCUGUCAGAGGGGAGGAAAUUUUGACCGAUCCUCAGAGGAAGCACAGGCUAAGUUCGUGCCAGCCGCCGCCGUAACAC
Molecule: ribosomal RNA, 481 nt
Filed under: uncultured bacterium
Lineage: Bacteria
Description: bacterial SSU rRNA
Rfam family: Bacterial small subunit ribosomal RNA
Source: RNAcentral